RNAcentral lists this microRNA (21 nucleotides) under Bos taurus (domestic cattle). Lineage: Eukaryota; Metazoa; Chordata; Mammalia; Artiodactyla; Bovidae. The record is from RNAcentral.
CCCAAUACGCGGUCGAUCUCU